RNAcentral lists this ribosomal RNA (489 nucleotides) under uncultured bacterium. RNAcentral's name for it is "partial 16S ribosomal RNA". It matches the Rfam family "Bacterial small subunit ribosomal RNA", at positions 29 to 506 of the family's 1533-position model. The record is from RNAcentral.
AUUGAACGCUGGCGGCAGGCCUAACACAUGCGAGUCGAACGGUAACAGAAAGCAGCUUGCUGCUUUGCUGACGAGGGGCGGACGGGUGAGUAAUGUCUGAGAAACUGCCUGAUGGAGGGGGACAACUACUGAAAACGGUAGCUAAUACCGCAUAACGUCGCAAGAACAAAGAGGGGGGGCUUCGGGCCUCUGGCCAGCGUAUGCGCCCGGCUGUGGUUAGCUGGGAGGUGGGGUAACGGCUCACCUAGGCGACGAUCCCUAGCUGGUCUGAGAGGAGGACCCGCGACUCUGAAGCUGACACACGAUACAGGCUCCUACGGGAGGCAGCGGUGGGGACUAGUGCACACUGGGCGCAAGCCUGCUGCAGCCACGGCACGUGUAUGCAGAAGGCCUUCGGGUUGUAAAGUGGUUUCCGCGGGGAGGACGGGAGUCACGUUAAACCCUUCGCUCAUUGACGUUACCCGCAGAAGAAGAACCGGCUACCUCCGU